This 442-nucleotide long non-coding RNA is filed under the name Mytilus galloprovincialis (Mediterranean mussel). The record is from RNAcentral. Lineage: Eukaryota; Metazoa; Mollusca; Bivalvia; Mytilida; Mytilidae.
GGGUAUGGGCUCACUUUGCAACCUGAGACGGAUAACCUCGAGUGAAAAAACCAUUUGCACACUAAAACAUGUAUCCAAAAGAACUGUCAAAUGGACAAACAAAUGAUUCGUUCACCCGACGAGAGGGCUGCCUAGUUAUCCAUUUUAUUCAGGGCUGCCUGAGAACUCAGGUAAUAAUUUUGUGACAAGUAAAGAAUGGAUGAAAUUCAUUAUUACAUUGCCCGAACGAAUUGCUGCACAUGUUGCCAAAGCACAAACCACAAUCUCGGAGGUGUAAGGGGCGGAUGGAGGGUCAAUAAUUACAAAUAAAAAUAUUACAUAAAAUAAACAUGUGUAUCUAAUCCAUAUAAAAAUUACAACUGCAACUUAACUAAAUUUCUAAUGUACCCUAGACAAGUAAGGGAGGAGUUACUUAAGAUUGACAUGCCUUAUAUCAAACAAG